AGCGAACGCUGGCGGCAGGCUUAACACAUGCAAGUCGAACGGGCUUCUUCGGAAGUCAGUGGCAGACGGGUGAGUAACACGUGGGAACGUGCCCUUCGGUUCGGAAUAACUCAGGGAAACUUGAGCUAAUACCGGAUACGCCCUUUUGGGGAAAGGUUGACUGCCGAAGGAUCGGCCCGCGUCUGAUUAGCUUGUUGGUGGGGUAACGGCCUACCAAGGCGACGAUCAGUAGCUGGUCUGAGAGGAUGAUCAGCCACACUGGGACUGAGACACGGCCCAGACUCCUACGGGAGGCAGCAGUGGGGAAUAUUGGACAAUGGGCGCAAGCCUGAUCCAGCCAUGCCGCGUGAGUGAUGAAGGCCUUAGGGUUGUAAAGCUCUUUUGUCCGGGACGAUAAUGACGGUACCGGAAGAAUAAGCCCCGGCCAACUUCGUG
RNAcentral lists this ribosomal RNA (435 nucleotides) under uncultured bacterium. RNAcentral's name for it is "partial 16S ribosomal RNA". It matches the Rfam family "Bacterial small subunit ribosomal RNA", at positions 29 to 507 of the family's 1533-position model. The record is from RNAcentral.